UGGGGAAUCUUGCGCAAUGGGCGAAAGCCUGACGCAGCAACGCCGCGUGGGGGAUGAAGGCUCUCGGGUCGUAAACCCCUUUCAGCAGGGACGAAACUGACGGUACCUGCAGAAGAAGCCCCGGCCAACUACGUGCCAGCAGCCGCGGUAACACGUAGGGGGCAAGCGUUGUCCGGAUUUAUUGGGCGUAAAGAGCUCGUAGGUGGUUCGGUAAGUCAGGUGUGAAACCUCCAGGCUCAACCUGGAGACGCCACUUGAUACUGCUGUGACUGGAGUCCGGUAGGGGAGCGUGGAAUUCCUGGUGUAGCGGUGAAAUGCGCAGAUAUCAGGAGGAACACCAGCGGCGAAGGCGGCGCUCUGGGCCGGUACUGACACUGAGGAGCGAAAGCGUGGGUAGCAAACAGGAUUAGAUACCCCCGUAGUCC
Molecule: ribosomal RNA, 425 nt
Filed under: uncultured bacterium
Lineage: Bacteria
Description: bacterial SSU rRNA
Rfam family: Bacterial small subunit ribosomal RNA
Source: RNAcentral